This 504-nucleotide ribosomal RNA is filed under the name Salmonella enterica. Its description in RNAcentral is "bacterial SSU rRNA". It matches the Rfam family "Bacterial small subunit ribosomal RNA", at positions 1018 to 1522 of the family's 1533-position model. The record is from RNAcentral. RNAcentral also lists the same sequence under 3 other names. Lineage: Bacteria; Pseudomonadati; Pseudomonadota; Gammaproteobacteria; Enterobacterales; Enterobacteriaceae.
CUUCGGGAACUGUGAGACAGGUGCUGCAUGGCUGUCGUCAGCUCGUGUUGUGAAAUGUUGGGUUAAGUCCCGCAACGAGCGCAACCCUUAUCCUUUGUUGCCAGCGAUUAGGUCGGGAACUCAAAGGAGACUGCCAGUGAUAAACUGGAGGAAGGUGGGGAUGACGUCAAGUCAUCAUGGCCCUUACGACCAGGGCUACACACGUGCUACAAUGGCGCAUACAAAGAGAAGCGACCUCGCGAGAGCAAGCGGACCUCAUAAAGUGCGUCGUAGUCCGGAUUGGAGUCUGCAACUCGACUCCAUGAAGUCGGAAUCGCUAGUAAUCGUGGAUCAGAAUGCCACGGUGAAUACGUUCCCGGGCCUUGUACACACCGCCCGUCACACCAUGGGAGUGGGUUGCAAAAGAAGUAGGUAGCUUAACCUUCGGGAGGGCGCUUACCACUUUGUGAUUCAUGACUGGGGUGAAGUCGUAACAAGGUAACCGUAGGGGAACCUGCGGUUGGA